Molecule: long non-coding RNA, 659 nt
Filed under: Actinidia chinensis (golden kiwifruit)
Lineage: Eukaryota; Viridiplantae; Streptophyta; Magnoliopsida; Ericales; Actinidiaceae
Description: long non-coding RNA (ACHI_LNC007606)
Source: RNAcentral
GUUAGGAUAGUAUUGAAACGGAUAUGGUUCUCUUUUAUUCUGGUCUUUGUCAGAAAAUUAUUCAUGAGAAGUAUAUGGCAAUGUGAAUGAUUGUUUUGAAAAGCGCUCUCUCUUUCGAAAGGUUGGUUUUGUAGAGUUUUUUGUUGGUCCUCUGUUUUGAUUUAGUGGUUCCUACUUUGUCCAUGAAGAGGCUUUGAGGUAUUAUGUGACAAAAAAUAUUUCUGCCUGCUUAAGUGCGGAGCUUCUGGCUGCAUGUUGUGAUACUGUUUUCAAGAAGGAUGGGAGUGAAAAAAAGAGUGUGAAGCCAUGGAAGACACUUUGGACAAGGUAGCCUUCUUGUUUCUCUCCUAUCAAAUUCCAUUUUCGUCAAAUCUAUUGACUUUUAAUGGUAGUUUUAACCUGUGCCUUUAAUUUCGAGAGUUAUUUGCUUAUAUUGUCAAGAAAGAUCUUUUUGCUGCAUUCUGCAGGUAAGCUGUUUUUUUACAUUAUAUGUUUCAACUUUGUCUUGAAUGGGGAUAUAGUUCUCUUUCCCUUCCCAUCUUUUAUUUCCAGCUAUGACGGGAAUGGCAACUUAAGAUGAUAAAAGUACUUGAGUCUUGAUAACCUUCCUUCCUUGUAAUUACUUCAACUAAUGUUGUAUAUUGCCACCACUGUGGUAU